This 342-nucleotide ribosomal RNA is filed under the name uncultured Pseudomonadota bacterium. Its description in RNAcentral is "uncultured proteobacterium partial 16S ribosomal RNA". It matches the Rfam family "Bacterial small subunit ribosomal RNA", at positions 100 to 426 of the family's 1533-position model. Lineage: Bacteria; Pseudomonadati; Pseudomonadota. The record is from RNAcentral.
CACGGGUGAAUAACGCNUGGGUAACCUACCCUCAGGACUGGGACAACUUCAAGGAAACUGGAGCUAAUACCGGAUAAGCCUACNGGGUCUUCGGACUUCCUGGGAAAAGAUGGCCUCUUCUUGAAAGCUAUCGCCUGUCGAUGAGCCCGCGUACCAUUAGCUUGUUGGUGAGGUAACGGCUCACCAAGGCGACUAUGGUUAGCUGGUCUGANAGGAUGAUCAGCCACACUGGAACUGAGACACGGUCCNGACUCCUACGGGAGGCANCAGUCNGGAAUCUUANGCAAUGGGGGAAACCCUGACCCANCAACGCCNCNUGAGGGAUGAAGGCCCUCGGGUCGU